Molecule: ribosomal RNA, 1247 nt
Filed under: 'Amaranthus palmeri' phytoplasma
Lineage: Bacteria; Bacillati; Mycoplasmatota; Mollicutes; Acholeplasmatales; Acholeplasmataceae
Description: bacterial SSU rRNA
Rfam family: Bacterial small subunit ribosomal RNA
Source: RNAcentral
GAAACGACUGCUAAGACUGGAUAGGAAAAGUAAAGGCAUCUUUACUUUUUUAAAAGACCUUCUUCGAAGGUAUGCUUGAGGAGGGGCUUGCGACACAUUAGUCAGUUGGCAGGGUAAAGGCCUACCAAGACUAUGAUGUGUAGCUGGACUGAGAGGUUGAACAGCCACAUUGGGACUGAGACACGGCCCAAACUCCUACGGGAGGCAGCAGUAGGGAAUUUUCGGCAAUGGAGGAAACUCUGACCGAGCAACGCCGCGUGAACGAUGAGGUACCUCGGUAUGUAGAGUUCUUUUAUUAAGGAAGAAAAAAGAGCGGAAAAACUCCCUUGACGGUACUUAAUGAAUAAGCCCCGGCUAAUUAUGUGCCAGCAGCCGCGGUAAUACAUAAGGGGCGAGCGUUAUCCGGAAUGAUUGAGCGUAAAGGGUGCGUAGGCGGUUUAAUAAGUCUAUAGUUUAAUUUCAGUGCUUAACGCUGUUGUGCUAUAGAAACUGUCUUACUAGAGUGAGAUAGAGGCAAGCGGAAUUCCAUGUGUAGCGGUAAAAUGCGUAAAUAUAUGGAGGAACACCAGAGGCGUAGGCGGCUUGCUGGGUCUUUACUGACGCUGAGGCACGAAAGCGUGGGGAGCAAACAGGAUUAGAUACCCUGGUAGUCCACGCCGUAAACGAUGAGUACUAAGUGUCGGGUAAAACCGGUACUGAAGUUAACACAUUAAGUACUCCGCCUGAGUAGUACGUACGCAAGUAUGAAACUUAAAGGAAUUGACGGGACUCCGCACAAGCGGUGGAUCAUGUUGUUUAAUUCGAAGAUACACGAAAAACCUUACCAGGUCUUGACAUUUUCUUGCGAAGUUAUAGAAAUAUAAUGGAGGUUAUCAGGAAAACAGGUGGUGCAUGGUUGUCGUCAGCUCGUGUCGUGAGAUGUUAGGUUAAGUCCUAAAACGAGCGCAACCCUUGUCGUUAAUUGCCAGCAUGUAAUGAUGGGGACUUUAACGAGACUGCCAAUGAAAAAUUGGAGGAAGGUGGGGAUUACGUCAAAUCAUCAUGCCCCUUAUGAUCUGGGCUACAAACGUGAUACAAUGGUUGAUACAAAGAGUAGCUGAAAUGCGAGUUUUUAGCCAAUCUCACAAAAUCAAUCUCAGUUCGGAUUGAAGUCUGCAACUCGACUUCAUGAAGUCGGAAUCGCUAGUAAUCGCGAAUCAGCAUGUCGCGGUGAAUACGUUCACGGGGUUUGUACACACCGCCCGUCA